Molecule: ribosomal RNA, 427 nt
Filed under: uncultured prokaryote
Description: bacterial SSU rRNA
Rfam family: Bacterial small subunit ribosomal RNA
Source: RNAcentral
UGGGGAAUUUUGCGCAAUGGGCGAAAGCCUGACGCAGCAACGCCGCGUGGGUGAUGAAGGUCUUCGGAUCGUAAAACCCUGUCGUCAGGGACGAAGGUCGGUCGUUGAAUAGGCGAUUGGCUUGACGGUACCUGGAGAGGAAGCCCCGGCUAACUCUGUGCCAGCAGCCGCGGUAAUACAGAGGGGGCAAGCGUUAUUCGGAAUUAUUGGGCGUAAAGGGCGCGUAGGUGGUUGUGAAAGUCAGAUGUGAAAUACUUCGGCUCAACUGGAGAACUGCAUCUGAAACUUCAUAACUCGAGUACAGGAGAGGGAAACGGAAUUCCCGGUGUAGAGGUGAAAUUCGUAGAUAUCGGGAGGAACACCAGUGGCGAAGGCGGUUUCCUGGCCUGAUACUGACGCUGAGGCGCGAAAGCGUGGGGAGCAAACA